CCUACGGGUGGCAGCAGUGAGGAAUAUUGGUCAAUGGACGAGAGUCUGAACCAGCCAAGUAGCGUGAAGGAUGACUGCCCUAUGGGUUGUAAACUUCUUUUAUAUGGGAAUAAAAUGUUCCACGUGUGGGAUUUUGUAUGUACCAUAUGAAUAAGGAUCGGCUAACUCCGUGCCAGCAGCCGCGGUAAUACGGAGGAUCCGAGCGUUAUCCGGAUUUAUUGGGUUUAAAGGGAGCGUAGGUGGAUUGUUAAGGCAGUUGUGAAAGUUUGCGGCUCAACCGUAAAAUUGCAGUUGAAACUGGCAGUCUUGAGUACAGUAGAGGUGGGCGGAAUUCGUGGUGUAGCGGUUAAAUGCUUAGAUAUCACGAAGAACUCCGAUUGCGAAGGCAGCUCACUGGACUGCAACUGACACUGAGGCUCGAAAGUGUGGGUAUCGAACAGGAUUAGAUACCCCGGUAGUC
This 460-nucleotide ribosomal RNA is filed under the name uncultured bacterium. RNAcentral's name for it is "partial 16S ribosomal RNA". It matches the Rfam family "Bacterial small subunit ribosomal RNA", at positions 338 to 795 of the family's 1533-position model. The record is from RNAcentral.